RNA transcript from Helianthus annuus (common sunflower), 2655 nucleotides. It is a transcript of the gene named folylpolyglutamate synthase, with no coding region annotated. Lineage: Eukaryota; Viridiplantae; Streptophyta; Magnoliopsida; Asterales; Asteraceae. The record is from RefSeq and is a predicted model, not a curated record. The transcript is spliced from 18 exons.
CAUCGACGCAACGCCCCAAAAUCCGCCAGCAUAGAUUCCUCCAUUCAAGGAAACAAUAACGGCGUCUCUUCCAAGCUUCUUCAAAUCACGCAGAGCAGAGAUUGACCUCAAGUUUCAUUUCCCGGAACCCUAACUUUUCCUCUGUUCCUGUGGAUUUGUAUAAUGUUUGUACACCCGAACGUUUACAUGAGGCGAGGAAUAUUUGGGGAUCUCUUGCAUGUUAAUAGAUUAACAUGGGAAAAUAGAUAUUCCUCAUGUUGUCUCAGCGCCUUUGAUGUCACUGGGCUGAAAGCAUUUCGAUCGCUUGAGAAGAUACAGCGAAAAGGGUUACAAUAUGCAAACAUGUCUUCUCAAAUAGUGACUACAGUAAACAGUAGUAGCAUGCAAGAGCAAGAGAGUCAUUCACCGUACACAUACGAAGCUGCCAUGGAAGCACUUUCAUCUCUUAUAACACGUAAAAAACGUGAUCGAAAUUUAAAUACAGAUGCUAAAUACACAAAGCUGGAAAGAAUGUCCAUGUAUAUUCAGAUAUUAGGCAUAAAGGAACAGAUUGCUGACCUUAACAUUAUUCAUGUUGCUGGAACUAAAGGAAAGGGAUCGACAUGCACGUUUUGUGAAGCAAUUUUACGGGAAAGUGGGUUUAGAACGGGCCUAUUUACUUCUCCUCAUUUAAUUGAUGUAAAAGAAAGGUUCCGUCUCAACGGGUUGGAAAUAUCCGAAGAGCAGUUUUUACUGUAUUUUUGGGGUACUUGGAACCAGCUAAAGGACAAAGUCACGGAGGACCUGCCAAUGCCUCCACUAUUUCAGUUUCUCACUCUAUUGGGAUUGAAGAUAUUCGUAUCUGAGAAAGUCGAUGUUGCUAUUAUUGAAGUUGGUAUCGGAGGGAAAAAUGAUUCAACGAACGUGAUUCAAGAUCCUGUCGUGUGUGGCAUCGCUUCUCUUGGCUUUGAUCACAUGGAAAUUCUAGGAGACACUCUGGGCAAAAUCGCUUUGCAGAAAGCUGGGAUAUUUAAGCCUAAAGUUCCUGCAUUCACUGUACCUCAACUUCCGGAAGCAAUGGCUGUUCUUAAACAAAGGGCACAUGAAUUGGAGGUUCCAUUGCAAGUAGUAACACAACUUACUUACGAAAGGUUAAAUGGGGUAAAAUUAAGUCUAUCUGGUGAUCACCAGCUUGUGAAUGCUGGCCUUGCCGUUUCUCUUUGUAAAAGCUGGCUCAAUACCAAAGGAGAAUGGGAAAAGCUCUUCAAAAGGGAUAUUGCAGACGAUAGUCUACCAGAGGCGUUUUUACGUGGUCUUUCAACCGCACAUCUUUCUGGAAGGGCUCAAAUAGUUCACGACGUUUCUUUGGGUUUAAACAAUAAUCAAAUAAAAACCGAUGAAAGUUGUCACGGAGAGUUAAUCUUCUACUUGGAUGGAGCUCAUAGCCCCGAAAGCAUGGAUGCUUGUGCCAAAUGGUUUUCUAAUGUAGUCAACGAAAAGGUUCAUAGACCCGUGCCAUUAUUUUCUAAAGGUAGAAACAUUAACGAGUCUUAUAGCGGCAAUGGUUACAUUCAACAACCAAAUGAAAAAGAAGAAUCUAAAACAAUAUCCAAAAGGAUUCUUUUAUUUAAUUGCAUGGAUGUGAGAGAGCCAGAAAUUAUUCUUCCAAGACUUGUGGAUAUAUGUUCUUCAUCAGUUUGGAGUUGUAGUAGCCACGGGUUGUGCACAUACAUUAAAAAGAAGGGCAUUUUGGUCUUUUGCAACCGUCUUAAAUAUAUAUCUAUAUAUCUAUAUAUAUAUAGAUAUAGAUAAAGUGUAUCGUACAAUUGGCCUUAACGUACAUUACGUACGCGAUUAGAAAUCGCACGUUAUAAAAAAAGCGCGUGGUGAAGAUGAUGAAAUCGCAUGUUGGUGAACAUGAUGAAAUCGCAUGGGAGCAUGAAAAAAACUAAUUCGCACGUUGAUGUUUUAUCAGAAAUCGCAUGUUGGUGAACAUGAUGAAAUCGCAUGGGAGGAUGAAAAAACAAAUUCGCACGUUGAAAAACAAUCACAUACGCAAUGUUCUAGUUUCUCGAAAGCGAUUUUUGUGCCAAGUAUCUCAACAUAUAGCAAGGUUACUUCUGGUAAUUCAGACAUCCCUAUAAACACCCCUUCAAAGGAUCUAGCAUGGCAGUUCAACCUCCAAAGGGUGUGGGAAAGAAUUAUUCAUAGAAAAGACAUCGGAGGAAUAAACAAGAAUUCAAAAAUGGAAGUUAUGCCGCCAACCGAGUUCCUGUAUGAUGAUAUUUCUCACUGCAAUCCAGAAAAUGGAAAGUUUAGUUGCAGCGCGGUGUUCCCGUCGUUACCUAUGGCGGUUUCUUUUUUAAGAAAGUCUGCGCGUGACAACCCUUCACUUAGGCUUCAGGUUCUUGUGACUGGAUCAUUGCAUCUUGUUGGUGAUGUCUUGAAGCUACUGAGGAGGUAACACACAAUGCAAUAAAUCAGCUGGUAAUCUGAAACAAUGGUACAUGAACACCAUUUGGCAACCCUAAGGUUUUUGAACUUCUGUCUUAAAAGUCAUGCAUGAUACAGUUAAAGUCGAACAAGACCAACAUGUUGGUUGGAGUUUUCUGUUGUGUUGCUGAAAGUUGAAAAGUUCUUUUUGCAGACAAGUGAAGAAAUUCUUUUUUAUUUUUA